UUCCUACGCUCAGUUAUAUUAUUUUGAAAUAAGAGCGAAGGAAGUUUAAUACGGUGUACAAUUUAGUUUUGUACUUAUGAGUUAUUGAGUUAUUCAUAUAUAAGUUUAUACAUGUGAUAUAAUUUUUUGUAAAAAUAAAUUCUGAAUACAAGAAAAUUAAGACAACUUAAGUUAGUAACAAAAAACUAAGUCAUUACCCUUUUUUGUAUGUAACCUUUAUAAAGACUUUAAAAAAUUUGGUGGACAAGAACAAUACAUAAGAUCCCAUAGUAAUUGAUCAUCUUUCGCGUGACAGAGGUGAAGUGAUCCAGGACGACAAAAAGAUCAUUGAACUAAGAGGAAACAAGGAAUUGCUUGAUGACAA
This is a long non-coding RNA of Capsella rubella, 364 nucleotides long. RefSeq lists it as uncharacterized. The transcript is spliced from 3 exons. The record is from RefSeq and is a predicted model, not a curated record. Lineage: Eukaryota; Viridiplantae; Streptophyta; Magnoliopsida; Brassicales; Brassicaceae.